RNAcentral lists this long non-coding RNA (328 nucleotides) under Parus major (Great Tit). RNAcentral's name for it is "lncRNA (ENSPMJG00000000222.1)". Lineage: Eukaryota; Metazoa; Chordata; Aves; Passeriformes; Paridae. The record is from RNAcentral.
UGGUGCUGAGCACUCUUGGGACGGUGCUCAGCACACUCGGGAUGGUGCUCAGCACCCUCGGGUCUCAUCCUGCACCCUCGGGACUCAUCCUGCACAGUCGUGAGGGUGCGGAGCACCUUCCCGAGGGUGCUGAGCACCGUCCCGAGAGUGUUUAGGACCAUCCCGGGGGUGCUCAGCACCAUCCCGGGGGUGCAGGAUGAGUCCCGAGGGUGCAGGAUGAGUCCCGAGGGUGCAGGAUGAGUGCCGAGGGUGCUGAGCACCAUCCCAAGGGUGCUGAGCACCAUCCCAAGGGUGCAGGAUGAGUCCCGAGGGUGCUGAGCACCUUCCA